RNAcentral lists this ribosomal RNA (484 nucleotides) under Veillonella parvula. RNAcentral describes it as "bacterial SSU rRNA". It matches the Rfam family "Bacterial small subunit ribosomal RNA", at positions 28 to 483 of the family's 1533-position model. The record is from RNAcentral. Lineage: Bacteria; Bacillati; Bacillota; Negativicutes; Veillonellales; Veillonellaceae.
GACGAACGCUGGCGGCGUGCUUAACACAUGCAAGUCGAACGAAGAGCGAUGGAAGCUUGCUUCUAUCAAUCUUAGUGGCGAACGGGUGAGUAACGCGUAAUCAACCUGCCCUUCAGAGGGGGACAACAGUUGGAAACGACUGCUAAUACCGCAUACGAUCUAAUCUCGGCAUCGAGGAUAGAUGAAAGGUGGCCUCUACAUGUAAGCUAUCACUGAAGGAGGGGAUUGCGUCUGAUUAGCUAGUUGGAGGGGUAACGGCCCACCAAGGCGAUGAUCAGUAGCCGGUCUGAGAGGAUGAACGGCCACAUUGGGACUGAGACACGGCCCAGACUCCUACGGGAGGCAGCAGUGGGGAAUCUUCCGCAAUGGACGAAAGUCUGACGGAGCAACGCCGCGUGAGUGAUGACGGCCUUCGGGUUGUAAAGCUCUGUUAAUCGGGACGAAAGGCCUUCUUGCGAAUAGUGAGAAGAUUGACGGACCGAAA